AGAGUUUGAUCAUGGCUCAGAGCGAACGCUGGCGGCAGGCUUAACACAUGCAAGUCGAGCGGGUGUAGCAAUACAUCAGCGGCAGACGGGUGAGUAACGCGUGGGAACGUACCUUUUGGUUCGGAACAACCCAGGGAAACUUGGGCUAAUACCGGAUAAGCCCUUACGGGGAAAGAUUUAUCGCCGAAAGAUCGGCCCGCGUCUGAUUAGCUAGUUGGUGAGGUAACGGCUCACCAAGGCGACGAUCAGUAGCUGGUCUGAGAGGAUGAUCAGCCACAUUGGGACUGAGACACGGCCCAAACUCCUACGGGAGGCAGCAGUGGGGAAUAUUGGACAAUGGGCGCAAGCCUGAUCCAGCCAUGCCGCGUGAGUGAUGAAGGCCCUAGGGUUGUAAAGCUCUUUUGUGCGGGAAGAUAAUGACGGUACCGCAAGAAUAAGCCCCGGCUAACUUCGUGCCAGCAGCCGCGGUAAUACGAAGGGGGCUAGCGUUGCUCGGAAUCACUGGGCGUAAAGGGUGCGUAGGCGGGUCUUUAAGUCAGGGGUGAAAUCCUGGAGCUCAACUCCAGAACUGCCUUUGAUACUGAAGAUCUUGAGUUCGGGAGAGGUGAGUGGAACUGCGAGUGUAGAGGUGAAAUUCGUAGAUAUUCGCAAGAACACCAGUGGCGAAGGCGGCUCACUGGCCCGAUACUGACGCUGAGGCACGAAAGCGUGGGGAGCAAACAGGAUUAGAUACCCUAGUAGUCC
This 744-nucleotide ribosomal RNA is filed under the name uncultured bacterium. RNAcentral describes it as "bacterial SSU rRNA". It matches the Rfam family "Bacterial small subunit ribosomal RNA", at positions 8 to 796 of the family's 1533-position model. The record is from RNAcentral.